ACACGACUACAUUAGAUACCCGGGUAGUCCCAGCCCUAAACGAUGCGCGUUAGGUGUAUCGGUGACCACGAGUCACCGAGGUGCCGCAGGGAAGCCGUGAAGCGAGCCACCUGGGAAGUACGGUCGCAAGGCUGAAACUUAAAGGAAUUGGGCGGGGGAGCACUACAACGGGUGGAGCCUGCGGUUUAAUUGGACUCAACGACCGGAAACUCACCGGGGGCGACAGCAAUAUGUAGGUCAAGCUAAAGACUUUACCAGAAUCGCUG
RNAcentral lists this ribosomal RNA (266 nucleotides) under uncultured archaeon. RNAcentral describes it as "partial 16S ribosomal RNA". It matches the Rfam family "Archaeal small subunit ribosomal RNA", at positions 717 to 982 of the family's 1478-position model. The record is from RNAcentral.